UUGUACGUAUUAUCAGUUUUAAUAAUUUGUACCGCCAAAUUGAAAAGAAUGCGAAACGAAAAGUUUUAGAAACUAUCCAAUAGAUGGCAGUAGGUGCUGUACGGUCGCACGAAUCAGUCGUUAUUGUGCACGGGUAUAUUCUCGUAGUGUUCAGUUUUUAAUUUUAAUUGUGUUUUUGUUAAUAAAUGAUAGUUAAUUCUAAAAGAAUGGUCAUUUGCUUCUUUUUUAUGUAAGUUUCAUGGAAAAUUCAUAAUAAAGAAAGGAUUAAGAAAAGGAGAAGAUUCAUACUUGUUAAUUGUUUGUUAUCUACACAAUGGAUCUGAUUUUUCAACCUUGAUAUCCCUAUCUUCGGUAUAGGACAGCAUUAUAUACCAGCGUUGCACUCGGCGAGGGUUCGUUCAAAAUGCAACACGUGUAAACCUCUGCGUCGAAUUAGCAAGAGAAAUACGGUUCUAAUGCGAAUUAUUCCACGAUGCGGAUGCUCAUGGAAGAAAGAGGCUCGUGGCGCUACCGAUGGAAGCGGACGAAAGCAUAGCAAGGAGAGAGAGAGAGGGAAAGAGUGUUGCUCAAACAUCCGAGUGUUUAUCACGUCGAGUGAAUGAUUACAACGAUGGGUGAGUAUUAUAUGCAUUUAUUACGCGCGCACGGAUGCGCAUAUACACGUGAAAAGGACAAGUUGGGCGCGUUACGCUAUACGUAAAGACCGACAUAAAUUAUCCGCGUAAUGCGGACGGGGGAGCGUAAUAAUAACAUUGUCGAGUAGCGAGUGAGAAUACACCACCAGGUUUCCCUCGGCAUUCCCAUUCCAUACCGUAGCUCCCAGUUGUCUCAAGGGAUUAACUCGCCUCGUGGAACCCAUGCUAUACGUCUCGUGUUUCCGCUCCAGUGUCUCAAGAAGUCAACCUCGAAAGGUUCAGCCUAGAUAGCUUCGCGUCGUGUUCUGUCUUUUAGUGUACGUAUAGUGUGUGUGUGUGUGUGUACAACUCGUGUGCACGCAUGUGUCAGCACGUGUUAUAUCUAGCGAUGGGAUCAAGUACAAUAUGUAUUUAUAAAUCCAAGUGAAAUCGAACGCAAAACUUUUGUUUCGUAAGAAUUGAAUAUUAUCUUUAUAGUAAGAAG
Molecule: long non-coding RNA, 1119 nt
Organism: Apis florea (little honeybee)
Lineage: Eukaryota; Metazoa; Arthropoda; Insecta; Hymenoptera; Apidae
Source: RefSeq, a predicted model, not a curated record